This 497-nucleotide ribosomal RNA is filed under the name uncultured bacterium. RNAcentral's name for it is "partial 16S ribosomal RNA". It matches the Rfam family "Bacterial small subunit ribosomal RNA", at positions 28 to 507 of the family's 1533-position model. The record is from RNAcentral.
GACGAACGCUGGCGGCGUGCCUAAUACAUGCAAGUUGAGCGCUGAAGGUUGGUACUUGUACCGACUGGAUGAGCAGCGAACGGGUGAGUAACGCGUGGGGAAUCUGCCUUUGAGCGGGGGACAACAUUUGGAAACGAAUGCUAAUACCGCAUAAAAACUUUAAACACAAGUUUUAAGUUUGAAAGAUGCAAUUGCAUCACUCAAAGAUGAUCCCGCGUUGUAUUAGCUAGUUGGUGAGGUAAAGGCUCACCAAGGCGAUGAUACAUAGCCGACCUGAGAGGGUGAUCGGCCACAUUGGGACUGAGACACGGCCCAAACUCCUACGGGAGGCAGCAGUAGGGAAUCUUCGGCAAUGGACGAAAGUCUGACCGAGCAACGCCGCGUGAGUGAAGAAGGUUUUCGGAUCGUAAAACUCUGUUGGUAGAGAAGAACGUUGGUGAGAGUGGAAAGCUCAUCAAGUGGCGGUAACUACCCAGAAAGGGACGGCUAACUACGUG